This 223-nucleotide long non-coding RNA is filed under the name Mytilus galloprovincialis (Mediterranean mussel). Lineage: Eukaryota; Metazoa; Mollusca; Bivalvia; Mytilida; Mytilidae. The record is from RNAcentral.
AAUGUAGCAAAAUUUAGGUAAGUUUCAACGACUCAUAGCUUGAAUAUAAAGAUAUGACUUUUACCUCCCCUCACGCAUUCACGAUGUCCUCAAUCAGAACCGAUCCCCUCACGCAUGACUUAAUGAAAAACUGUAGUUUUUGGAAUUACUAAGACGUCUAUCGACACAGGACAGCGCACACGCAGUCAAAAACAACAUGCAUACCCAUUGCCCGAAAAAAAAC